Molecule: ribosomal RNA, 403 nt
Filed under: uncultured Nitrosopumilales archaeon
Lineage: Archaea; Thermoproteati; Nitrososphaerota; Nitrososphaeria; Nitrosopumilales
Description: bacterial SSU rRNA
Rfam family: Archaeal small subunit ribosomal RNA
Source: RNAcentral
UUAAAGACUUUACCAGACAAGCUGAGAGUUGUUGCAUGGCCGUCGCCAGCUCGUGCCGUGAGAUGUCCUGUUAAGUCAGGUAACGAGCGAGAUCCCUGCCUCUAGUUGCCACCAUUACUCUCAGGAGUAGUGGGGCGAAUUAGCGGGACCGCCGCAGUUAAUGCGGAGGAAGGAAGGGGCCACGGCAGGUCAGUAUGCCCCGAAACUCUGGGGCCACACGCGGGCUGCAAUGGUAAUGACAAUGGGUUCCGAAUCCGAAAGGAGGAGGUAAUCCCCAAACAUUACCACAGUUAUGACUGAGGGCUGCAACUCGCCCUCACGAAUAUGGAAUCCCUAGUAACUGCGUGUCAUUAUCGCGCGGUGAAUACGUCCCUGCUCCUUGCACACACCGCCCGUCGUUUCA